Zootoca vivipara (common lizard) is the source of this 3791-nucleotide non-coding RNA. NCBI's taxonomy places the organism in Eukaryota, Metazoa, Chordata, Lepidosauria, Squamata, Lacertidae. The record is from RefSeq and is a predicted model, not a curated record.
UUCAAUAGGAAUCCCACCCCACCCCCCACUCCGCUCUCCUCAAAAUUAAUAGACACCCUCUGCUCUAGGGUAACAAACUGGUUGCUAUUUGCAAAAUAAUGCACAUCCUAAAAACAGUACCCCAUUACAAAGAAAUUUUAAGUUAAGGGUGACCAAGAUCAUUAUCUUAAGUACUUUCAUUUUAUAUGACAACAUACAAUUUGUAUAUACUUGGUGAAGCAACUAAUUUUUCUUUGCAGUUUCGCUUGUCAAAAAGUUGUUGUUGGGUAUUAUUUGCAGUUUUUAGACUACUAGAAAAAGGAUCCCUGCAGAAACAACCAUGACUUUUGGGCCUUCCACUGAAUAAUGCUCUACUUGUUCUUUUUUUCACUUUAGCUCUUCUUGUGCCACUAAUGAUCUACUCCAGAAUCAUUAUGGGCUACUACUGGGAAGGUGGGGUUUUUUUUUGCAAAAGCUGCCAUUCCCGAUUUAUCAGAUUGACUUGUAUGAAUAACUGCUUUGAAAAAACAAUUUCUUGCCAGGGGCUCAUUUUUUUCUCAAAACACUUACCUGAACUCAGGAUAGUGUGGAGACAGCUUGGGCUCCUGAGGGGGGUUAGGUGACUCUUGCCAGAAGUUUGAACUGAUUGCUUGCAGAAUUUUCUUCCUCCUGCUGCCAUGGCUCCAUCUGUUUCAGCUCAUCCCACCAUCCUUUUCUUCCCCCCAAGGCUCCCCUUCCCAGACAAAGAGCCCAAGGGCCACAGGCUACACACCCACUAGAGACACAAAAACACAGAAGUCCCAAACGCUGGUGCUCUCAACUGUUUUUGUGAAGAUAUGCUGCCUACAAAUUAGUGUACUUGUGCCAUCGAAAACUUGGGAGCCAGACUUACGUUUCCUACAAAAUAGGUUGAGCUGUCUUUGACCAAAUUGCUGGGGCAAGUAGUGUAAUGGCAAUUCUAUCAUUAUGCAAAGAGCACAUGUUGUGUGCAAGAGGGGCAGAGAACAAUUACUAUUUCCAGCACUACAGGAAAAUCCCCCAAAGCGGCAUGAUCAGAAUGAAAGUACAUGCAUCUAUAAUUGAUAUCAAUGAAGAACUACCAUGACCCACUACAGUAGCACUGUUCUAAGAAGGUACACUCAAAAUUACCGUGCAGAGAUUAACAACCAAAUCACUACAAUCACUAAUAUUAAUAAAAGGGUCUCCUCGUUUCACUAAAGAAGAAAAUGAGAAAGUGCAAAAAAGUGAAGAGAAACAGAAGAGCAGGCUAGAAGAAUAUUUUUAUGGAACUCUGAUGUCUUGUCUUCUACCUCGAUCAAUCACUGAGAAACUUCUGUCCCAACUAUUGAUUCCAGCAGUUUUGUUCUGGCAUUUUUUUUGGGGGGGGGGGAGAAGAUGGUUCUCACAAUUGUAACUUUGCUUAGCAGGAUUACAGAUGAGGUCCAGAGAUAAAACCAGGGGUAGGCAACCUAAGAUCCAUGGGCCACAAGCGGCCCACAGGGGUCGUUUAACCGGCCCACGAGCCGCCCCUGAAUUGAGCCGCCCGCUUGGCGGGUCCCUGCACGCUGCGCUAAACCGGCACAGCGUGGCGCGGGGACUCGCUUCCAUGGUGCCGGAAAUCACGUCUGCGCAUGCUCAGACACCGAAAAUUGCGUCUGCGCAGAUGCCAGAAAUCCUGUCUGUGCAGACGCAGAAAAUCGUGGCAGCAUGCGCUCACAAUCUGGCUCACAGAGGGAUCUCCGCUGGAGUGAACCGGCUCAGGCGAGGUAAACCUUGCCAACCCCUGGAUAAAACAAUUCAAGCAUAAAGAACUACCAUGUGGUUUCUAAAACCAUACCAACCCAAGCUUUGUUGCCAUUCCACCUAAGCUCACAUACCACAGAUGCAAUGGUCUGACUGAUGAGGAAAUAACACCAUAUAUGAAACCAUAUAGUUAAAGAUAUAGUGGUGCUAAUGUCAGGCCUUUUUACCUUUCUAGGUACUCUCUCAUGCACAGUAUUGCAUGAUCCAUCUUAAUUAAAGUUAAACCUUUAACAUUCCAGCAUGUGGUAUUUAUCAAUAAGGAUGGUAAAAGCACCAGCAGCUUGUUUACUUCCAUGAGAAGACUCCACAGGUAAAGGAAAGUUGUGUUCAUAUGAAACCAGUAAGCUGUUUUCUGUAAUACUGGAUAAACCAAAUAACAUGCUUCAAUAUUUUAUUUCUAGACACAGUGUAGUGUUUUUUGAAACAUCACAUUAAAUUUUUAUCAACAAACCAAUAUAAGCAGCAGCUGGUAACCUCGGAUAUUUUCCUUAAGUUCCUUUUGAGUUCUCAUAAUCAUCUUCCUUUACUUGAAAACUAGUGCUGGAAUACUGAAAUUACUUCUUAGGUACAUCUUCAGAUGAUAUCUAUCUUUGCAGGCCUCCAGUAAUGAUCGAGAGGUACUAGCUACUGAAGAGUUUGCAAUUUCUGACUUUUGAGAAUUCAGAUAAUUCCUGAAAGUUCAACUGCUAAUUGAUCUCAUGGGAAGCAAGAAAUGGUCGUCACUGUCAGAAGAUAUGUAUAUUCUGGCUUACAAUACUGUGAGAAACCAUUACAAUACUGUGAGCAGCCCUGCUUGCUGAGAAAGGGGGUUCUACAGCCCUCUUCUCUUUCGUUUGAUAAAACUUUUCUUCAUUUUUUGCAGCAUACGAUCACCUCCACUCCCCCAAAAGGCCUCUGCUUGGGGUGGGGGUGGUGAGGGGGAGAACACCUGGAGAAAGAGCAAUGGAAUGUGGGAAAAGCGAAAGUCCUAAAAACCACAUAAGGCCCAUACGCCCAUUGUUUAGAAACCCACUAAAAACUUCUGAAAGGUAUUUCAGGAGGCACAGAUGGCUACAGAGACUAUGAAGCAUCUUUACUGUAUCCAAUGAUCCAAACUCUUGUAUUCAGGAUUGCUGGUUUAAUGCUUCAUUCUUUAACUCUACCUAUGAAUUCUAACUUUCAUUGUAUUUACACUUUAAAAGCAAACUCUAAAAAAAUAAAGGCUGCAGCAUGGUUUUAAUAAGGUGUAGAGCAGGGGUCCCCAAACUAAGGCCCGGGGGCUGGAUGCGGCCCAAUUGCCUUCUAAAUCCGGCCCGCGGACGGUCCAGGAAUCAGCAUGUUUUUACAUGAGUAGAAUGUGCCCUUUUAUUUAAAAUGCAUCUCUGAGUUAUUUGUGGGGCCUGCCUGGUGUUUUUACAUGAGUAGAAUGUGUCCUUUUAUUUAAAAUGCAUCUCUGGGUUAUUUGUGAGGCAUAGGAAUUCGUUCAUAUUUUUUUUCAAAAUAUAGUCCGGCCCCCCACAAGGUCUGAGGGACAGUGGACCGGCCCCCUGCUGAAAAAGUUUGCUGACCCCUGGUGUAGAGCAUACUCCAUAAAGCUUUUUAGAAAAUAUUUUCAUAAGAAAAGCUGCACUAAAUCUAUAUAGGAAGUUAUUUAAAUCCUUCCCAAUUCUGUAUCAUUUAUUAAGGUCUUUUAAUUUCGUCAUAGCUUUGAAUCUGAAAUCUCAAGACUAAUAUCUCCUACCUAUAGGGAAAUAUGAAAGACCAGAUGGAAACAAGAACUCUCAAUACAUUCAAACCAAAUGAACUGUUUCCGGUUUCAAAAAGUUUUAUUUGUAAGAAAGGUAUUACCUGUCCUGAUAACCAGAACAAUAACUUUUUGCCCAAAAUUUAAAACAACUAUUCACCUUUCCUUGAGAUUUCAAGUUCAUUUUUUUUGAACUGAAAGUUGAAAACAAACCAGACAAAUUAUUUUCCUUCCAUCUCAGCUAAACCUAAAGAAACUCAGUACAGUACCUUUGAAUUGAGGUGGG